GGAAGGGUGGCCGAGUGGUUUAAGGCACCGGUCUUGAAAACCGGCGUGCCCGCAAGGGUACCGUGGGUUCGAAUCCCACCUCUUCCGCCA
Molecule: transfer RNA, 90 nt
Filed under: Bradyrhizobium ottawaense
Lineage: Bacteria; Pseudomonadati; Pseudomonadota; Alphaproteobacteria; Hyphomicrobiales; Nitrobacteraceae
Also listed under: 4 other names
Description: tRNA-Ser
Rfam family: tRNA
About the family: Transfer RNA (tRNA) molecules are approximately 80 nucleotides in length. Their secondary structure includes four short double-helical elements and three loops (D, anti-codon, and T loops).
Source: RNAcentral